AUUGAACGCUGGAGGCGUGCUUAACACAUGCAAGUCGUGCGAGAAAGGGACUUCGGUCCUGAGUAGAGCGGCGCACGGGUGAGUAACGCGUGGGUGAUCUCCCUUGGUGAUCGGGAUAACAGCGGGAAACUGCUGCUAAUACCGGAUAAUCUUCAUGUUUAACUUCAUGGGGUAAAGGUGGCCUCUGCUUGCAAGCUACCACAUCAAGAUGAGCCCGCGUCUCAUUAGCUAGUUGGUAGGGUAAUGGCCUACCAAGGCUACGAUGAGUAGCUGGUCUGAGAGGAUGACCAGCCACACUGGGACUGGAACACGGCCCAGACUCCUACGGGAGGCAGCAGUGGGGAAUAUUGCGCAAUGGGCGAAAGCCUGACGCAGCGACGCCUCGUGAGGGAUGAAGGUCUUCGGAUCGUAAACCUCUGUCAAGAGGGAAGAAACCCUUGGAUUCGAAUAGGGUCCUUGGCUGACGGUACCUCAAAAGGAAGCACCGGCUAACUCCGUGCCAGCAGCCGCGGUAAUACGGAGGGUGCAAGCGUUAAUCGGAAUCACUGGGCGUAAAGCGCUCGUAGCGU
This 569-nucleotide ribosomal RNA is filed under the name uncultured Desulfovibrio sp. RNAcentral's name for it is "bacterial SSU rRNA". It matches the Rfam family "Bacterial small subunit ribosomal RNA", at positions 28 to 577 of the family's 1533-position model. The record is from RNAcentral. Lineage: Bacteria; Pseudomonadati; Thermodesulfobacteriota; Desulfovibrionia; Desulfovibrionales; Desulfovibrionaceae.